RNAcentral lists this ribosomal RNA (442 nucleotides) under uncultured Eubacteriales bacterium. RNAcentral's name for it is "bacterial SSU rRNA". It matches the Rfam family "Bacterial small subunit ribosomal RNA", at positions 338 to 795 of the family's 1533-position model. The record is from RNAcentral. Lineage: Bacteria; Bacillati; Bacillota; Clostridia; Eubacteriales.
CCUACGGGCGGCAGCAGUGGGGAAUAUUGCACAAUGGGGGAAACCCUGAUGCAGCAACGCCGCGUGAAGGAAGAAGGCCUUUGGGUCGUAAACUUCUGUCCUUGGGGAAGAAAAAAAUGACGGUACCCUUGGAGGAAGCCCCGGCUAACUACGUGCCAGCAGCCGCGGUAAUACGUAGGGGGCGAGCGUUAUCCGGAAUUAUUGGGCGUAAAGGGUGCGUAGGUGGUUUUUUAAGCGCAGGGUCUAAUGCACAGGCUUAACUUGUGUCCGCCUUGCGAACUGAAGGACUUGAGUGCAGGAGAGGAAAGCGGAAUUCCUAGUGUAGCGGUGAAAUGCGUAGAUAUUAGGAGGAACACCAGUGGCGAAGGCGGCUUUCUGGACUGUAACUGACACUGAGGCACGAAAGCGUGGGUAGCAAACAGGAUUAGAUACCCCAGUAGUC